Small nucleolar RNA from Rattus rattus (black rat), 87 nucleotides. RefSeq annotates it as small nucleolar RNA SNORD116. The record is from RefSeq and is a predicted model, not a curated record. NCBI's taxonomy places the organism in Eukaryota, Metazoa, Chordata, Mammalia, Rodentia, Muridae. The transcript has a single exon.
UGGUCGAUGAUGAUUUCAAUAAAACAUUCAUGGAAAAAGUGAACAAAAUGGUGAAAACUCAAUACACUAUCAUGUUGACUGAGGUCC